GUUUCCUUGAUUGAGCCAAAUCUGAGUCAAACCUAAUUCUUUAAAUUCACCAAAACCCCCCUCAACGUUUCCUCUAAUGGGUUUCAAUUUGGAUAAAAAUUCAAGAUUAUAUGAUGAUUGUGGCCUUCCAAAGGAGGCCAAAUGAAGUAAGAGGUAGACAUAUUGUUUGUCGCCAAAUCGAGAAGAGCUAAAGAAUCGAUGGUCAUCCAUCAAUUCGCGGAAGAAAAGUUGGCACUGCUUUAAAAGGGUAAGCUUGCAGCCAUUGGAGUUCAGAUGUAAAGAAUCAAAUACUGUAUGUUCGUCCACAGUCUACAAUUACAAGAAAAAAAAUAAGCUUGAGGAGGAACCGAAGGGCCUUCUUUCGGAUCAGCUUGUUGUGGCUUCUUUGAUCUGGCAUGAGGAGCACUGGACGGGCCUCUGUUUGCAUCAUCGGGUUUACGAGCCCAAGAAGGUGACUGCUCAGGUUCGUAACAGUAAUCAUAAAAGAUUUCUUGACCCGCUUCAAUUCGCUCUUUGGCAAAUAUGCUGACAUGAUGAUCUCCUCCCACUUUUAUUAUCUGCACAUAAUGAAUUGGUUUCAGGACGAGUGUUUGGCAUUGAUUGCUUAUUUAAAGUUUGUUUAACACAUAGUCACAUUAUUAAAAUCACUUUAUAGUUUAUAACAC
Molecule: long non-coding RNA, 665 nt
Filed under: Helianthus annuus (common sunflower)
Lineage: Eukaryota; Viridiplantae; Streptophyta; Magnoliopsida; Asterales; Asteraceae
Description: hypothetical non coding rna
Source: RNAcentral